This 292-nucleotide ribosomal RNA is filed under the name uncultured bacterium. Its description in RNAcentral is "partial 16S ribosomal RNA". It matches the Rfam family "Bacterial small subunit ribosomal RNA", at positions 505 to 796 of the family's 1533-position model. The record is from RNAcentral.
GUGCCAGCAGCCGCGGUAAUACGUAGGGCGCGAGCGUUGUCCGGAAUUAUUGGGCGUAAAGAGCUCGUAGGUGGUUUGCUGCGUCUGCUGUGAAAUCCUGGGGCUUAACCCUGGGCUUGCAGUGGAUACGGGCAGACUUGAGGUAGGUAGGGGAGAAUGGAAUUCCCGGUGUAGCGGUGAAAUGCGCAGAUAUCGGGAGGAACACCGGUGGCGAAGGCGGUUCUCUGGGCCUUACCUGACACUGAGGAGCGAAAGCGUGGGGAGCGAACAGGAUUAGAUACCCGAGUAGUCC